This 463-nucleotide unclassified non-coding RNA is filed under the name uncultured Glomus. RNAcentral describes it as "SSU rRNA". It matches the Rfam family "Eukaryotic small subunit ribosomal RNA", at positions 569 to 1038 of the family's 1831-position model. The record is from RNAcentral. Lineage: Eukaryota; Fungi; Glomeromycota; Glomeromycetes; Glomerales; Glomeraceae.
AGCAGCCGCGGUAAUUCCAGCUCCAAUAGCGUAUAUUAAAGUUGUUGCAGUUAAAAAGCUCGUAGUUGAAUUUCGGGACUAAUAUGUCGGUCGUGCCUCGGUACGUACUGGUUUAUUGGUUUCUCCUUUCUGAAGAACCAUGAUGUCAUUUAUUUGGUGUCGUGGGGAAUCAGGACUGUUACUUUGAAAAAAUUAGAGUGUUUAAAGCAGGCUCACGCUUGAAUACAUUAGCAUGGAAUAAUGAAAUAGGACGUUUGAUUCUAUUUUGUUGGUUUCUAGGAUCGACGUAAUGAUUAAUAGGGAUAGUUGGGGGCAUUAGUAUUCAAUUGUCAGAGGUGAAAUUCUUGGAUUUAUUGAAGACUAACUACUGCGAAAGCAUUUGCCAAGGAUGUUUUCAUUAAUCAAGAACGAAAGUUAGGGGAUCGAAGACGAUCAGAUACCGUCGUAGUCUUAACCAUAAACU